UUUGGUCCUGACCUUGAAGUCAAUUAUUACUUAAUAUACACAUGCAAGUAUCCGCUCCCCUGUGAAAACGCCCUUCAACCCCCAUUAGGGACAAGGAGCCGGUAUCAGGCACAAUGUAUGCCCAAGACACCUAGCUUUGCCACACCCACAAGGGAUUUCAGCAGUGAUUAACAUUGAAUAUUAGCGCAAGCUUGAUUCAGUUAAAGUAAAACAGAGCCGGCCAAUCUGGUGCCAGCCGCCGCGGUUACACCAUGUGGCUCAAAUUGACCCCAUUCCGGCGUAAAGCGUGAUUAAAGUUAUCUUCUUAUAGAGUUAAAUUAAAACUAAGCUGUGACACGCUUGUUCUUAAGAAAUUCCCAAACGAAAGUUACUCUAAUUUAACCAACUUGAAUUCACGACAGCUGGGAAACAAACUGGGAUUAGAUACCCCACUAUGCCCAGCCGUAAACUUUUAUUUACACCUCAAU
Molecule: ribosomal RNA, 467 nt
Filed under: Rhinella scitula
Lineage: Eukaryota; Metazoa; Chordata; Amphibia; Anura; Bufonidae
Description: 12S ribosomal RNA
Rfam family: Bacterial small subunit ribosomal RNA
Source: RNAcentral